CAUCUUAAUCCUGUCCUUCAUACUGUCAAAGAAUACCUGGAAGAACCCUAAUAAACGUGGAAAUACUUCAAACAUUUUUUUUUUUUGAAUAACAGUGUUAAUUUUAGAAAACAUUUUGGACCAGCUCUGAAGCAGGCACUGUUGUGAAGAAAUCAUCAGUAUAAAUUGUGUUCUGCAAGGGGAAAAGAGACAUAAACAUGAUUUUUUUUUAAGAAAAAAUGUGUGCUAUAUCUGUGUCAUUCCCAUGUUACCUUUAACUAUUGGAGGUUUAAGAAAGAAGAUAGCUGAUUACUGCUAAAGUUCUGUGAGGAAGAUUGCCAGUUUCCCAGGGCUAUAUUUCUGUGAUUUAAUUUGGCAUUUUGCACUUAAGUCUUUGUGACAACUGUGCUUUCCUCAUCACCCCAUCUUCUGAACUUUGAGCAACUGAAGGCCCCAUGCAAACUGAGAUGAGGCUGCCCAGCUGUGCAGAUGUGAUUGUGUCCUGUGAUGUGGGAGCAGCUCCCUUUCUCCAGCUGGUUGUGGUAUGGAGCUACAGUCAAGAGAAGCAUGCCUUGGUUGGCUCCUGAGCAAUGUGCCAUCUUUUCUCCUGCUUCAAGGCUCACAGAUGUAGUUGGCUGGUGGACUGAUCAGCUGGAUCCAGCCUCUGUCUUUGAGGAGCUGAAGAGAAUGUAUGCACCAUAUUUCUUGUGAUGAAAUAUAGCAGGCCAGAGAAGACGGUUGUGAUUCAGAGAGAACACAUCACUGAAAACCAUAGACCUAGCUGGUACCCUCAAACUGUGGGAUCUGCCAUCUCUGGAAAAGCAUGUACCAGGCUUGAGCCUUGGAGAAAAUUGUCUGCUUGCUCUUGGUGGAGGCUGAAGUUGUUCUGCACUGCCUUUUUGGACUGGGUGAAUCUGGGAAGCUGAGUGGCAAACGAAAGUGGAAGACUCUGAUUCAACUCUUCUUGGCCCGAUGGGGGCUGAAACCUGCAUUUCCCAAGUAAUCUGCCAAUUGUUUUAGCAGUCAGGCGUGCUGCAGAGUGACAAUUCUGACGUCUUCAGUCAACACCGAAGAACACCAAAUAAUCUGAGCUGCGGUGUACCAGGGAAAGGUGAUCCUGUCAAUAUGGUAAUGAAAAAGAGACAAACUUCAUGCAAAGGAAUUUUGCACAAGAACACUAAAUAUAUGUGAGCGCCCAAUGGUGAAAUGCCAAGAUGUAUAUCAGUGUGCUAACUCCACUGUUAUUACGGUCUUUGAAAUGAAAUUAAGGGAACAACUUCACAAAAGUUUUAGGAGUGCAGGAACUACAUCUGAGUGCUGGCCGCCUCAAGAUAUGUGUGGAGCUCCGGAAGAAACCGCCCACAGUGACCCCUCAGAAUGGCAAAUGUGGGACCGAUGGCCAACUGAGCCGAGGAAAGUCUGCUCUGCUGGCAAUGAUACAGACCUCUCGUAUAGCACAUCUGUGCACGUGCAUGUGCUCUUGCUGUGCAGAGUGAAAUCUGCCAUGACAAAGACUCUAUCAGUCUGCUAAGACUUGUGUUCCUCAUAUGUUCUCACUGAUGAGCUGUAAAUAUCCUCCAAGCUAGCUGUAUGGUACAGUACUAUAGUUAUGGUGGUCAGGUUUCUGUUAAAAGUACCGUGUAAAAGAGCCGAGAAAUGUGAAACAGAUGAAAAAGUUGUAAAACAAAGAUGAGAUAUAAUGGCUGAUCUCAGGAUAACUUCAGAAAUUGUCAGUGCCAUAAAGUGAUGUGUUAGUCUAUGGCUUUAGGAGAAAACAUAAAUGCAAACCAGGUUUUCUGUUUUUCUCUAUUCAGCUAAUGAGAAUUUGACCAGGGUGUAGGCAUUUCAUCUUAUACUGACCUGCUAUUUUCACUCAUUUUGGAAAACAAUUGCGACUUGCUUAUUUUGUGUAACGGCUUUUGUAACCCCACACGUACAUCUAGUUUAGCAACUUGCUGGAUCUUUGCAUCCCUCGUGGCAAUGUAGUCCCUGCUAUGCACCGAAGCAGGCCCCUGCUCUGUCUUGACUUGAUGUGGGUUUCCUGCUUUAGCCACGUCCCGUUCCCUCUGCCCUUGGGUCAACAUUCUCUGGGCAGCAUUCCCUCCGGUGGGCUGGAUGACAGUGUAAUUUUGUACUGCAGCUCAUCUGAGAUCAGCCAGUCUCUCCCCCCUCCUAAGGGUAGGCACAGUGGCUGCUUUACCUAAGAGUGUCAUAGGAACAGAGUGGCUUCAGCCUCCUUGUCUUCCUCUAUGUACCCACAGGGCAGAAAGAGGACUCUAAAUCCAUCAAAGUUUUAUGGAGGAGCUGUAGGUCUCAAAUAUUUCCCUGUGCAUGCAAGAAGAGAACAUGCAGCUAAAAUGUGUGAUAGUAAACCCCUUAAUUCACCAUGUUAAUGCCAUUUAUUCCUAGCAUUGUAAUUUUCCCUUUCCCAUUUUACCUUCUUCCUAUCCGCCUCCCACCAGCUGUGAACCACACAGGCAACCUACUUCAGAAGUUUGACUUUGUCAUAUUACUGAGUGUGUGCCACAGCUGCAAAUGCAGCUUCUCCCAAAAUAUCAUUGCCUCGGUUCCUGUGGCAAAGUGACUGAAGCUUCAUCAGGUCAAAUGAUGCAUUCAAGGUAUCUGGGUGCUAUUUUCAGUUUUGAAUGAGCCAAGGCCAGUUAUCACAAAAUACUCUGCAACAAAUUCGAUUUGCUUAAAAGUGGCAUGGUAGUACCCAAACCAACAAGAGGAGUUGCCGUGAGGGGCAUCCUAAAAUGAGUGGACCACUAGUCGAAAGAUAAUUAAAAUGAUUAGCAAAAUAUGAUUUUGAAAGUGUAUCUCUUUCAGUAGUGCUUUUUCCCAGCUCUCUGUUUUCUUGUACUGUAAGGCACAACAAGAAACAAAUAUCCUUAAACACAGGCCCAUCUGCAGCCUCAAAAAAAGCAACUAAUAUGAAAGAACAGUAACCCCAGCUCUGGGGGUUUUUUGUGUUGUUUAAAGCCCUACAUAAAUCAAGAGGAGGCCCACAAAGGGAAGACUGGUUUCAGGGACUGGUCUUGAUUUUCUGCUUAGGAUAAUCAAGAUCAGGAAUCCAUCUCUAAUUAAAGGCAAAUAGAAAAUAUGCAGGAUUUUCACAUACAUUCUUUUCAUACUCAUAGUUUAACGUGUUAUGUAUACAGUAUUCUUUUCCUUUAGUUCAACUUUCUCAAAUUAUGUGCAGACAGCUUCAGCUGCAGGGAAAGGUGGGAGUAUUUAGGAUAUCUAGAAUUUAACUGUUUCACUCCUACUACAGAAAGACCUGUUUCUUUAGCAGAGGUAUUCGAUAGAAAUGUGGUUUCUAUUUUCAACAGAAAACCUCAGUGAUUCUGUGUGAUUCUGUUGUGUGUGUGUUUUGGGGGUUUUUUUGGUUUUGUGUGUUUUUUUUUUUUUUUUUUUUUAAAUUAGUAGAUCCUAGUGAAGAUGUUUGUCUGGCUGCUUUGAAGAAAGACAUGCUUUUAGUUUUAAUAAACAUAGUACUUUUUCCUUGUCUGCUUCUGUUGUAGCGCUGGUUCUUUUUACAGUGAUUUUCCAUGGAAAUGUCAUUCAAGUGAAUGAAAUUUAAGCAGGAUGUGGGUUUUGUCACUUUGAUGGUGAUGUAGUUUCCCAGAUGUAAGUUUUUCAUUAAGAAAUUAAUAUUGGCAGAUUGGGUAUUACAGUAAACUGAACAAGCUCGAGUAUGCGGUAGGACCACAUCAUUUUGCAUGGUGAUGUUCAAGUUCCCUUCUCUCCCCGCACAGUGAAGUCUGGGGUUGAUUUACAUAAAUUCUUAGAUUUCUAACAGCAGCACCCCGUAAGUUGAACUAUUCCUCAUGCUUUUGGCUCCUUUUCUGAGACAUAUUGCUGACACUUCCAUCACUGAGUCAGUAUAGCCCAAUGAA
Harpia harpyja (harpy eagle) is the source of this 3878-nucleotide long non-coding RNA. RefSeq lists it as uncharacterized. The record is from RefSeq and is a predicted model, not a curated record. NCBI's taxonomy places the organism in Eukaryota, Metazoa, Chordata, Aves, Accipitriformes, Accipitridae. The transcript has 6 exons.